Molecule: ribosomal RNA, 443 nt
Filed under: uncultured bacterium
Lineage: Bacteria
Description: partial 16S ribosomal RNA
Rfam family: Bacterial small subunit ribosomal RNA
Source: RNAcentral
CCUACGGGAGGCAGCAGUGGGGAAUAUUGGGCAAUGGGCGCAAGCCUGACCCAGCAACGCCGCGUGAAGGAAGAAGGCUUUCGGGUUGUAAACUUCUUUUCUCAGGGACGAAGCAAGUGACGGUACCUGAGGAAUAAGCCACGGCUAACUACGUGCCAGCAGCCGCGGUAAUACGUAGGUGGCAAGCGUUAUCCGGAUUUACUGGGUGUAAAGGGCGUGUAGGCGGGGACGCAAGUCAGAUGUGAAAACCACGGGCUCAACCUGUGGCCUGCAUUUGAAACUGGGUUUCUUGAGUACUGGAGAGGGAGACGGAAUUCCUAGUGUAGCGGUGAAAUGCGGAGAUAUUAGGAGGAACACCAGUGGCGAAGGCGGUCUGCUGGACAGUAACUGACGCGGAGGCGCGAAAGCGUGGGGAGCAAACAGGAUUAGAUACCCUAGUAGUC